ACGCUGGCGGCACGCCUAAUACAUGCAAGUCGAACGCAGUAGCAAUACUGAGUGGCAGACGGGUGAGUAUAAUGUGGGUAUCUGCCUUUUGGUUUGGAAUAACUUGGGGAAACUCGAGCUAAUACCGGAUAAGCCCUUACGGGGAAAGCUUUAUGCGCCAAGAGAUGAGCCCGCACUUGAUUAGCUUGUUGGUGAGGUAAAGGCUCACCAAGGCAACGAUCAAUAGCUGUUCUUAGAGGAAGACCAGCCACAUUGGGACUGAGACACGGCCCAGACUCCUACGGGAGGCAGCAGUAGGGAAUCUUGCACAAUGGGGGAAACCCUGAUGCAGCGAUGCCGCGUGAGUGAAGAAGGCCUUUGGGUUGUAAAACUCUUUCGUCGGGGAAGAAAAUGACGGUACCCGAAUAAGAAGGUCCGGCUAACUUCGUGCCAGCAGCCGCGGUAAUACGAAGGGAUCUAGCGUAGUUCGGAAUUACUGGGCUUAAAGAGCUCGUAGGUGGUUAAAAAAGUUGAUGGUGAAAUCCCAAGGCUUAACCUUGGAACUGCCAUCAAAACUUUUUAGCUAGAGUAUGAUAGAGGAAAGUGGAAUUUCUAGUGUAGAGGUGAAAUUCGUAGAUAUUAGAAAGAACACCAAAUGCGAAGGCAACUUUCUGGAUCAUUACUGACACUGAGGAGCGAAAGCAUGGGUAGCGAAGAGGAUUAGAUACCCUCGUAGUCCAUGCUGUAAACGAUGUGUGCUAGACGUUGGAAACAUAGUUUUCAGUGUCGCAGCGAAAGCAUUAAGCACACCGCCUGGGGAGUACGACC
RNAcentral lists this ribosomal RNA (807 nucleotides) under uncultured Pelagibacteraceae bacterium. RNAcentral's name for it is "bacterial SSU rRNA". It matches the Rfam family "Bacterial small subunit ribosomal RNA", at positions 33 to 887 of the family's 1533-position model. The record is from RNAcentral. Lineage: Bacteria; Pseudomonadati; Pseudomonadota; Alphaproteobacteria; Candidatus Pelagibacterales; Candidatus Pelagibacteraceae.